This is a non-coding RNA of Procavia capensis (Cape rock hyrax), 72 nucleotides long. NCBI's taxonomy places the organism in Eukaryota, Metazoa, Chordata, Mammalia, Hyracoidea, Procaviidae. The record is from Ensembl.
UAGGGCUUGGUGUAGUUGGUAACACGAAGAAUUUUGGAUUCUUAGAUUUGGGUUCGAAUCCUAUGGCUCUAG